Dalotia coriaria is the source of this 443-nucleotide long non-coding RNA. RefSeq lists it as uncharacterized. The record is from RefSeq and is a predicted model, not a curated record. Lineage: Eukaryota; Metazoa; Arthropoda; Insecta; Coleoptera; Staphylinidae. The transcript has 3 exons.
UUAUAUAAAUAACAAUCCAUAAGCUUAUCAGAUUCAAGACGGCAUGUCUUCGUUUUUAACGUCGUCAUUACCGCUGCUGCUUGCUUUUGUUUCGUGCAUCAUGCAUCUACUUUUCAAUGGAAGCAAAUUUGCCUGCCAUGCAAAGGGGGACCGAAAUUCAGCUUCCGAACUGUUUUACAAGCCCAAUAUCCGAAAGCACUUGGCGCUUCCCUCAUAGACACAUCCCGAAUUCAAUUCGCUGCGUGAGUGUUAAUUUUCGGCAAGUUGGGGUGACGCGGCAGGUUUCGCGCGCUCUUCAACCGUCGACGCCGCCUCGGGAUCGGCAUUCGGCGGCUUGUUUAAAAUAUAUUUCAAUUUACCAAGGACUACUUAGCGACUCAAUCGAAUCGGCAAAUUGGUCGCCUCCUGUUUUUAGUAGCCGCACAUCAACACAUAUCUACCGC